CAAUACAGUGAUGUGGAGGCAAAACCCUAAAAAACGAAUCUCAGUUCGGAUUGAAGUCUGAAAUUCGACUUCAUGAAGCUGGAAUUGCUAGUAAUGGCAGGUCAGCAUACUGCCGUGAAUACGUUCCCGGGCCUUGUACACACCGCCCGUCACACCAUGAGAGUUGGGAAUACCCGAAGCCUGUGAGCUAACUUUUUAAGAGGCAGCAGUCGAAGGUAGAAUCAAUGAUUGGGGUGAAGUCGUAACAAGGUAGC
This 254-nucleotide ribosomal RNA is filed under the name uncultured bacterium. RNAcentral describes it as "partial 16S ribosomal RNA". It matches the Rfam family "Bacterial small subunit ribosomal RNA", at positions 1250 to 1500 of the family's 1533-position model. The record is from RNAcentral.